RNAcentral lists this ribosomal RNA (253 nucleotides) under uncultured bacterium. Its description in RNAcentral is "partial 16S ribosomal RNA". It matches the Rfam family "Bacterial small subunit ribosomal RNA", at positions 524 to 776 of the family's 1533-position model. The record is from RNAcentral.
UACGUAGGUGGCGAGCGUUGUCCGGAUUUACUGGGCGUAAAGGGAGCGUAGGCGGACUUUUAAGUGAGAUGUGAAAUACCCGGGCUCAACUUGAGUGCUGCAUUUCAAACUGGAAGUCUAGAGUGCAGGAGAGGAGAAUGGAAUUCCUAGUGUAGCGGUGAAAUGCGUAGAGAUUAGGAAGAACACCAGUGGCGAAGGCGAUUCUCUGGACCGCGACUGACGUUGAGGCUCGAAAGCGUGGGGAGCAAACAGG